This is an RNA transcript of Mytilus trossulus (common blue mussel), 7719 nucleotides long. It is a transcript of the gene named kinectin-like, with no coding region annotated. The record is from RefSeq and is a predicted model, not a curated record. NCBI's taxonomy places the organism in Eukaryota, Metazoa, Mollusca, Bivalvia, Mytilida, Mytilidae. The transcript has 27 exons.
AUAUUUGUAUCACAUUAGGGAGGAAACAUGCCUUCCUUAUUUUUUUUAAAAGAGACAUGAAUAUAAAAAUUACAUUUGUAACAAAACAAAGCAGACGAUGUCUGACAUCAAUGCAGAAAAGUGUCCAAUAAGAAUAACUGUUACAAAAAUACGUCGGAAGUUUUCAUUCCACCAUUAUUCCGAAGGCUCAUAUGGGGGACGAAAUAAAUUGACCUGACACGUAACCAAAUUUCUGUUUUAUUAUCACAGAAACAUUAUUUACAGAGAGGGGCGUGGUAAAUUUGCUGAAAAGUAUCCCAUCGGGUUGUCUAGAAAUUUUAAGGAUGGAUCCUCAAGUUAUCCUGAUAGGAAUCGUUGCCUUUGUUGUCUCAGCUGUGCUGAUAUAUCUUAUAUCUGCAUUUGGAUUCAAAGAGAAGUCUUACGAGGAGGCUAUAGCUGAACAGAAGAAGAGACUAGAAGCUGAGCAAGAUAAGGUUAGAAAAGAAAAGAAAGCUGAGAAAGAAAAGAAAAAGGGAAAGAAAGGUAAAGAAAAGCCAAAGGAAAAGAAUGUGCAACAGGUAAAUGAUCCAGAGCAUGAGAGAAAAAUGGUAAACUUGGAAAUUGAACCAGAAAUUAUUGAACCACAAGCAAGCAGUGACCAGGAAAGUAAACCAAAGUCAAAGACAAAGAAAAGCCCAAAACCCAUACUGUUAAACAAGGACGAAAAGUCGAAAGUUGCACCUCAAAUGCAAGAGACAAUUCAUUUUAAAGCAGUUCCAAAAGAUGAGGUAGAAUUACUCCAUGAACACGAAAAAGAAAGGAAAACAUCACUUAGCAAACCAAAGAAAGAAGAAAAGGUUAAGAUUGACACGAAAGAAGCAAAAAAAGCACAGCCAGUUGUAGAGGACAUGGUUAUAGUGCAAACUCAGAAACUUCAAGCUGCAGCACUAACUCCAGAGAGGAAAGCUAAGAAAGCAUUAGAAAAUGAUGUCAGGCAGUUAGUAUCAUCAAUUCAAAGUGCAUCAUUAAAUGAUGGGGAAAUACAAAAACUGAUUGAAAUUCUCCUGAACAGACAGAGUGGAACUGAACAAUCCACAACUAUUGAAUCAUGGAAUAAGAAAGGCCAGAAAGGUGAUCCAAUUGCACUGUUAAAAAGACAGCUUGAAGAGAAAGAAAAAGGAUUGCAAGAAGAACAACAAUUGGCAAUGUCUAGCAAUAACAAGUACAAAGAGCUGAAACAGGAAGUACAGAAAGAUAAAGCCAGAUUUGCUUCAAUUGAGAAACAGUACCAAGAGAAAGUUGCCGGCAAAGAACAGGAAUUCCAAGCCUUGCAGUUGAGAAUGCAAACAGCUAUCAAUGAAAAUAUGGCUGAUAGAAAUAAAACCCAGGCCAGAAUUCAGCAACUUGAAAGGCAAUGUGGAGAUCAGAGUAGAUAUACACAGCUUGUUGAGGAAAACAAAAAAUUGAAAGAGCAAUAUGAAAGAGUCAAGGCUGAAGCUGUACCUCAAGCAGAAUUUAUCAAUUUGAGACAAAAGGUUUCCAUAAUGGAAAAUGAAUUGUCAAAUAAUUGUUCUAAAUUGAAUGUUAGUGAAAAUGCAAAAAGAGCACUGGAGACUAAACUUUCUAAAUAUGAAGAAGAAAAGAAGAAAUUAAUUGGAGUACAGGGUGAUAGUGACGGUGUUUGGACAAAGAGGGUAGAAGAGGUUAAUCAGCAGUUAAGAAAGAGUGAGGCAGAGAAAAAUAAUUUAUCAAAGAACUUGAAGGCUGCAGAGAAAGAAUGUUCCGAUGUUAAGAGUCAACUACAGGAUCUUAACAAAGCCUUAUCAGGAAAUGAUAAUGUGUCAAAGGAAUUAGAAGUCAAGUUAAAGGGAGCUGAACAAGAUAAAAGUUUAUUAGAGACAUCCUUAAAAGCUGUUGAAAAGAAGCUUGCAGAAAUUGAAAAAGAAAAGGAUACAGCUCAAAAAGAAAAAUCUGAAUUUCAAACAGAACUGAAGAAAAUUCAAGAAGAAAAGAAAAGGUUGGAUGAUGAAGUCAAAAUGACAAAAGAGAAAUUAGUGAAGUCAGAAGAAUCUGCUAAAACAGCAUCUGCACCAAAUGGAGACAUACAUAAUGGAACAAGUGGAAACAAAAUUACAAUGGUUGAUCACGAAAAAAUAGUAUCAGAGAAAACAGUUGAGGUGAAGAAAUUAUCAACAGAAGUUGAAACUAAAAAGAAAGAAAUUACAAAGAUACAGGAUCAGCUAACAUCACAGAAAAAUGAAGUGAAUAAUAUGCAAGAACAAUUAAAAUCUUUGAAGAAUGAAAAUUCAAAUCUCAAGAGUCAAUUCGACAACCAAACUAAAGAACUGUCUAGUGUCAAGGCAGAUAUUGGGAAGAAACAGUCUGCAGUGUCAUCAGAAACUGAACAGCUGAAAAAACUUCAAGCUGAAAUUGAUGCACAAAAGAAAAAGAAUAAUGACUUAAGAGAAAAGAAUUGGAAAGCAAUGGAUGCUUUAGAUAAAACUGAAAAGUCUUGUUCUGACAAAGUUCAGAAAGCAGUUAAAGAAACAAAGGAAGAAUUGAGUAUGGUCACAAAUGCACAAAGGACAGACCAGGCAUUACUUCAGAGGUUGUUUCCUGAUGUUAAAGUUAGUGAGAAAUUAGUUCAUAAAGACUGGAUGUCCACAUUUGAAAAAGAAGUCCAGAUAUAUUUAGCCACUGUCAAGUCACAAAAAGGAAGUGCCAAAUCAGAUGAUUCUUCAAAAUUAAUAGAAGACAACAAAAGAUUAGAGUCCCAAGUUGACGAGUUCAAAACAGUUUUACAGACUACAGAAAAUAAAUUACAGCAAUUGGAGAAUAGCGUUGAAGGUGAAGAAAGAAAGUGGCAACAGAAGUUACAAGAAUUACAAUUAGAUCUUGAGCAGUCGCGGCAAGACAAUUCAACAUUAAAGGUUGAAUUAGAAAAAUCUAAAGGCAGUGCAGAGGCAUUAGGUGAAUUGGACUUUGCUUAUCGAUGUUUAGAGAAAAGUAUAACAAAAAUUACAGAUGAGAUGACAGAAAAGGUCACAGGUUUAGAAGAUAGACUUAAAGAUUCAGAAGACAGAUGUUUACAGUUACAAAAUAAGGCAAAGGAGGCUGAAGUGAGAAUCUCAUCAUUAGAAGAAGAACUUCAUGAAAAGAAUAAUAUUACACAAAAUUUAGAUGAUUUACUAAAGAAAAUAGAAGAACUCAAGAAGAGUAAUAAAGAUUUGGCCUCUACAAAUGUACGGCUAAAUGGUAUCAUAAAAACUGGUCAAGAUUCUUUAUCCAAAGAAACAGAGUUAGUCAAUGAGCUACGCAAACAGAUAGAAGCAAGAAACAAGUCAUCCGGUGCAACACCUAGUCAAGAAAAUGAAGAUUUGAAGAAAAAGUUAGCUGAUGCAGAAAAACAGCUAGAUAAAGAAAUCACAGCAAAUAAACAGAUGUCACAGAAAUUGAGUGAAUCUACGGAGCCCAAGUCUGAAACCUGAUUUGACAGGCUCAAUUAGGGGUUAUGUAGAUUCCUGCUUAGAAUUUCUCAUUGCCAUUUUGCAGCUGCUUCAAAUGACCUGGGUACACAGGUGUAAGCUGCUAAUUAUGGAGGACCAGAAAAACAACUUUAAACAGACAUAAUCUUUCUUGUAGUUGUUAGAAUGUUGCAUUAUGUUUAUCCACUGUAUUUAUUAUAAAGGAAAGGAUUUCACAAGCAAGAUAAACUGUCCAUUAUACAAUAUCUAACUGUGAUUAUUUAUAAUUUUCUCAUGUAUGUAUAUGCCUGAAUUUAAAUCUGAUAUAUAAUUUAGAUUCAAGUUCAUUCAACUGAUGAAAGGAAAAUCAAGAAAAACUGUAAAAUUGCAAAAAUAAAUUGCCAUUAUCAUAAAUAUAGUUUAUCAAGGCAUUUGCUACUACGCAUUAAGUAGAAUUAUUGAUUUAAACCAGUUUGAGUGACAUUUCAUCAUGGUUAACAAAAAAUUACAACAGAAAUAUUAUCAUUGAUCCAUGACACAUUGAUAAGAUAUAAAAUCUAUAAAUAAAUUUAAUAAAAAUAACAAGUACAACCAAAAAAGGAUGUUAAAAGAAAAUUAUAUUUAUUUAUAUAAAAUUAGUGCUUAAUUUUGCAAUAAUUUUGGUGUUUGUGUGCCAUUUAAUGUUGUUCUAUCACUACCAAGACAUAAUUGUGAAAAGUUGUUGGUUUUCUUAAGAAAAACCUCUGCCAUGUGCAAUAUAUAACAAUCAUGGAUAAACUGAAGAAAAUUGUUUACAUUAAAUGUGAACAUACUAACAACAAUCUAAUAUACACUUAACUGAAGAAAAAGGAUUGAUAUUUAAUAAACUAUUCAAUGAAGCCAGUUAUAAACAAUGUUGUAUCUUGACUAAUGAUUUUUCUCAAUUUAAUUCAUGUUAUAAGAUUUUAUGACAGGUUUUUGAUAAAACUAAAAAGCAUUGGUUUACAUUUUGGGCUUUCACUUUGUUGUAACUAAUACAUGUAUAUUAUGCAUUAUCUGAAAUCAAAAUGAAAUUAUAUAAUUAAAGUCAAGUGGAUUUAAUUGGAAUCCUACGAAUGCUUAUAUUUUUAACAUAAAUGAAUUCUGUCUAUGGAUAUCACUAAAAUGUGGUUAUAAAUGAUAGAUUGGUGAAAUCUUAUUUUUUUAUCAUAGAUGUUUAUUAAAGUCAUAUAAAACUUCAAGAUUAAAAGGCACAAUCCAAAAUGUUGAAUUAAAAAAAUCAUUGUAAAUGAACAUUUCAAGAUGUUGAUUAAACUUUUACAUUUGUAUCACCAAAUAGCAGCAAAUUACUUCAGCUUUCCCUAAAGAAUGAUGAAAUAAGAACCCAGUUAAAGUGCUAUGUUUAUUUUUCACUAUUCUUGUAUUUACAUUAAACAUCAUUUAUCAAUCCAUCAAUCUAAGGUCAACACAUAGAUUAAAUGUCAUACAGAUGUACAAUAUGCACUCCAAAUCAAAUCUUUUUUAAAAUUCUAGCUCAUAAAUGUUGUAGAGUAAGUGAACUUUGAAAAAAGAAAGUGCCUAAUGUUAAUUGUUUGCAAAAUUAUUUACACAUACUUUAAGUAUAGAUUUUCUUCUUUGACAUUAUAUGUUCAUUUGUUGUUGGGUUUCUGUCACCUUGACAUUAACCUCUUUAUCUUCUUUUUGUUGGCAUUAAAGCAAAAAUUUAUUUUUGUCAAUAAAAAAACUUAUUUUACAAAGUAUAUGUAAUAAAUUUAUACUAUAACAAAAUUAUAAGAAUAUAAAUUGCAUAUAACCUCAUAUUUCUUUUAAUCAUUUGUAUCUCACAACUUGCACUGCAAACUAAUUAUAUAUCCUUCACAGUUAGGCUAGGCUAAGCACGUUAUUAUUUUAUUCACUCAUUGUAAAAGUGUUCAUCUAGUCAUAUGUUAUUUUUGUUUUUAUGGUUUUCUUGUUUUGUUUUGAUGGGACAGCUUUAAUUUACUUAUUAUACAGUCAGUUUCAAUAAUAACUUGGAAUAAAGUGUAAAAUUGAGUAAAUAUCAUAAGCAAAUCCAAUGAAUCAUACCAGAUUAAUAUAAGAGCACGUUUUUAUUACAUAUCACCAGCUUAAAUGAGCAAUAUCAUGUCAACAUGAAGAUUGCAGUUUUUGUUUUAUUGGAGAUAGUAUUGAUAGCCAAACAAGGGAUAAUUUCAUGAUACAACUCUAUUAAACUACCCAAUAAAAGCCAACUAAAAUUGGUAUUAUCUUUAACGUUCAUCUCAAUUGUUUUUUAUUCACGAGUUUCAUAAGCCAAAUACAUAUCAUCAACUCUUAUCAGUAUGUUUCCAAUCAUUUACUGCUGUUAAUGUAUUUCUAUCCCCUUGAAUCAAUUGUUUCCUUUACUUGGCUUACAAGGACUUCAUCAUUUUUGGCAUUACAUGUAGAUUUUAGUAAAUGGCUGCACAUUUAAACAUAUCCUCAAUCGAAACCUCACAUCUUAAUGAUCUAGGCACACUCAUGCACAGUGUAUUUAAGACUAUCAAUCCUUAUUUUUUUAUACUUCGCUUUUCUUUGGUCAGUUUUCUUAUUUUAUUUUACAAGUAUAUGUGCUAAUAGUUCUAUUUUUAAGUCAUUUUGUAACUUAAUCCAAAAUUGACUCUUAUUUGAAAUUCUAUUUGUAUUAAGUUACUUUUUAUUAUGGAGUGCAAGUAUAGAUUUAUCAAAUGGUUCAUUGCUAUGCAGAGCAAUGAAGAAAUCACAAUAAAAAGUUAUUUAUAGCUGCCACUUCCAGGAUCUUCAAAUGGAUUAUACAAUUGUUUAAAGUUCAAAUACCAUAUUUUAUACAAACCUGAUAUUGCAUGCAAAUUAAAGGAGAAUAAGUGAAAGCUUUAUGCAUCUCUUACCGGAGCAAAUCCUUGCAGCCAAACAGUUCUACUCCCAUUAAAUGAAUGUAAUAAGAGUCAAUUAAGGAAUCAGAAAACUUAAAGAGCAAUAAGGUUUCAUGUUCAUACAAGUUUUAUGUAUUUACAUACACAAUUCAAGACAGAACGUUAGAAACUUAUGGCACCUUUAGCAAGAACUUUUAUAAUUCUGUAACGUCAGUAUGCUUGAACCCUUUUACAUUUCGCUUAUUUUUCGAAGAUGACAUAGAUGUUGUAUAUGUGACUUAGUUUGAUAUUUUUUUUGAAAGGGCUCAUUAAAGUUUGUUUAUAUAUUUGAUUAAUAUAUGAAAAGUCGAACAUAAUCAUUUGUCAUAACAUUUUUAUAAAAUGAUCAGAAUAAGCUAGCUUUUGAUCAAUUUCAACUUUAAGAAAAUAUAUGCACUUUUGUAUAUGAUACCAACAGCCAAAUAAGAAGCCCAAAAUAGUUUACUCAUUUCAUUGAAAUAAAUCGAAAACAACCUUUUCAUCAUCUUCUGAAACAUUGCUUAAUUCAACAUUGGUUCAAAAUUACUGAGAGAAAAGUUUAAGGUGACCUUGAGCAAAGGGCAUCUGCUAAUAUUGAUAUUAAGUGACCUCUGACUGUAUAUAAAGAUAAGUUAUGUUAUUGUAAGUCCCAUCAGCGAUUUAUUUUCUGUCUUCCAUGUUUUGUUGUACUUUGCUAGUUCAGCAUCCAAGAUGUUGAUUUAUCUAAGGUUGUAUCUCAUUAUGUAAAUAUCUUAUUUCCACUGCCUUUUUACACUUUCAAGGUUCCUCAUGGUACAUGGAUACCAAUUUCAAUGUCUGCUGUAUAUAACUGGCUUAAUUUCAAAUUUCACUCCUAUCUUUGUAGUGGAUCAUGUUUCAGAUUUCACUGCUAUCUUUGUAGUGGAUCAUAAUUCAAUAAAAAGGUUUUGUUAACUUUUAACGGAAAAUUGAAUUUCAAAAGUGACUUUUAAAUCUAUAAUAUUGAUAUGUUAAAUAUGUGCAAGAUCACAUGAAAAUAUUGCAUGUAUAAGUGACAAACAGUUUUCUUGAGAUAAUUAUUUUAUUCCACCAAAACAUCAUAUACAGUAUUAUAAUGAGAAAAUGAAUUAUUGUAUCUGUGUAGCUUGGCAAGACAUGAAAUCAGUAGGAAAUCUACAGAAAAAAAGUAAUGUUUUAAAUUAGUUAAUAAAUUGAAUAGUACAGUGUAGUUAUAUGGGCUAAAGAGUUUGCUACAUUGUAUAGUUAGCUUAUUGUUGCUGUUAUGUUACUGUCUCAUGUAAUGUGAUAAACAUUUUGUUUUCAUUAAGAUAGGAAUCGGUUAAGGAUAAUUAUAUGGAAAGGACCACAAUGUAUUUAUCAGAGAUGUAACAAAAUAAACUUCAUUCAGUUUA